GAUGAGAACGUAGCGAAAUGCGAUAAGUAAUGUGAAUUGCAGAAUUCAGUGAAUCAUCGAAUCUUUGAACGCACCUUGCGCUCCUUGGUAUUCCGAGGAGCAUGCCUGUUUGAGUGUCAUUAAUAUAUCAACCUCUUCAGCUUAUGCUUGUUGAGUGUUGGAUGGUGGGGGUUUGCUGGUGUCUUAUGAAGUCAGCUCCUCUGAAAUGCAUUAGCGGAACAAUUUGUUGACCGUUCAUUGGUGUGAUAAAAAUAUCUACGCUAUUGACGUCAGUCAGUUCAGCUUCUAACAGUCCAUUGACUUGGACAAAUUUUUCAUUAAUGUGACCUCAAAUCAGGUAGGACUACCCGCUGAACUUAAGCAUAUCAAUAAGCGGAGGA
RNAcentral lists this unclassified non-coding RNA (380 nucleotides) under soil metagenome. RNAcentral's name for it is "partial contains 5.8S ribosomal RNA, internal transcribed spacer 2, and large subunit ribosomal RNA". The stretch from base 5 to 119 matches the Rfam family "5.8S ribosomal RNA", at positions 40 to 154 of the family's 154-position model. The record is from RNAcentral.